Homarus americanus (American lobster) is the source of this 5679-nucleotide RNA transcript. RefSeq lists it as uncharacterized. The record is from RefSeq and is a predicted model, not a curated record. NCBI's taxonomy places the organism in Eukaryota, Metazoa, Arthropoda, Malacostraca, Decapoda, Nephropidae. The transcript is spliced from 36 exons.
CUCUCAUAGCGGGUCACUGCGACCACUCGCGCUCCUUGCCUCGCUCGUACAUUCAUGACUUGUAUUGAGAACACCAUCUCGAGGAAUAGUUUGGAGGGUGACGUUACCAAGUAGUAAUUCUGCUGCUCCUCCAAGAUGGACUGGUGGCGACUGUUGCUGCUGCCACUUCCACUACUACUGCUGGCAGGAGGUGACGUAGGACCCCAGGAGGCAGAAGCUGUGUGUCAAACUGCUUCGGAUAAUAAUAUGCGAAGUGAACUUGUCGGGAAACACAACCUGAGUGUGUGGUUGUGUGGCUCACCAUCUUACUUCAACACCGGGGGUCGUGUGCACCUCUCGGACUGUCCCGCCAAUGAAAUUGAUGAUGGACAAGCAUGUAGCACCUAUACUGUUGAUAGUGGUACAACACCGCUAACAACCUGUACAGUGGCCAUGACGCCUCCCUUUAACUCUGUAGAGAUAAAGGAUUUCGACGGCGUUGCCAAGUACUUCGACUGUAUUGAGAACAUGGAGUGGUUGUCAGGCCGAAAGGGAAGGAUCUCUCAGUGCUUCCGUGACGCGUGGACCCCAAUCUACGAUAUCUGUGAUGAAGCCUGCUCCAUGCCGAGGGACUGUGCUGAAAUAGACAAGCUGAGACUGCCCGGGUAUAAUAUGUACACUGUUGUACCUUCAGGCGAUCCAAGAGGGCCAAACAAAACGGUGACGUGUUUAUUUAAUGGGUACACAGCUGUAUCAGAGGUAACUAGCUCUAGGUCAGUGACUGUUAGAAAUGGCAUAGAAGGACAUGGCGAAUUAAAUUAUGGUGACCAGCACACCUCCAUAUAUCCAUAUUUCAUUGGAAUCCGUCAUCUGGCUGAUCUGACAUGGGACGGCCCCAACUAUCGGCCAUUAGAGAUCAGGUUUACCUUUGAGUUCCAUGGACGUGAUCCGAGGGAGGCGACAUACGAUAAUCUGGUAAUAAAUAGGACAGAGCCUUAUCACAUCAUCUCGUUGGGCACCUACCACGGUACAGCUGGUGAUGGCCUCAGAGACUGUGUUGGAAAGGACUUUCUUGCCAGCGAUCAUAACUGGUGGUGGGAUAAUACUAAAGUAAAUGUGUCAGCAAGAAAGUGGGCUUCUUUUUCUAACAUCGCAAAGUUUAACAUCUCUGUUCGGCCCAUGGACUAUGAUAGAGAGACAAACUGCCCACCUCAGUUUGGUUGGGAACCAAGUUGGUUUUCUCACACCAAAGUUCAUAUUCCAAUGACGCGGUCUGUAGGAACGGUUGUCAAAUACCGGUGUGAGGGCGAGUUGUUCAUGGCAGGCAAUGGGACUACAGUAGCCCAGAAGCACAGACACGAAAAUGCCUCCUGUGUUAACGGAACAGAUGGAUCACUGGUGUGGGAUAAUGAGUUCUUCCUGCCAUGUGAACUGACGUGUCCAGACAAUUAUACAACUACAGUGGAUGGAACUUCUUGUGUCAGGUUCUCCGAUGAUGAGGCAGUCCACGGCAUCACCACGGCCUCACUCAAGUGCCACAGGGAAUUAGCAUCUAUGGCAGUGUGGAAGAAGUAUGGAAACCACAGCAAUAUACUGGAUGACCAAUACUAUUACACUGCCCAUGUCAGGAAUGGCAAUAUAUUUGAGGGAAACGGUUUACAACAAGGUGAAUGUUCUCCUAAUGAGAACUGUGAGGCCGUGAGUCACCAGGGCUGCUUGACUUUGGCUUUUAAUUCUGUGGGUUCCCAAAGGUGGCGCGCACAGGAGUGUGUUCGUAAUCAGACACGCUACAUCUGUAUGAGGCCAGCGUACUGUCACGGCUCAUACAAACCCUACAAAGGUCUCUGCUAUAAGGUGGUACCAGCCAGUUCCUACAGUCGUGACACAGAAAAGCAUGAGACGAACCACUUACGAGCCCUUAAUUAUUGUGCUAAUGAGGGUGCAUCUUUGGCCUAUCCGGAAAGUAUAGAUGAACUCGUGCACUUGGCAACACUGAUUAGGGAAGAGGGAGCAUGGGACUCCACGGAGAAGAAUGUCCUAAUAGGACUCAAUAAGAGGGGUGGUGAUUGGACAGCUGGAGGAGUGUACUCACCAGACAGUGAGGUGAUAGACCUGGCAGAGAAUGUGUCUACGAAGUAUUGGAUGAGGUACCUGACAAUAAGAAAUGACAAUACCAUCACUCUCACCCCAGCACGACUGAUUACCAACAUUGGUGUGAGCGUCCACUAUGCCAUCUGUCAGUUGUACGGGCUUACUGGCUGUGUAGAUGUUUUACCAGAACCAACAGUCAACAUGAGCAGGAACUGGCCUUCCAACUCUUCCUAUGUAGACGUUACAGUCCGAUAUAUCUGCUACCCCGGCUACUUCACUGAUGGCGACGUCAGCUUAACACAACAAAAGAUACAUUGUGGCGGUCCUUUUGGCCUCUGGGGUUUAAGAGAGUUGAAAGACUGUAUUGCUGUUGAUGUGUGUACGGAGACCAGUCUGGAGGAAGUUUCACCUUACCUCAUCGUCGAGAACAGUACCAAUCAUCACCAACUGAAUGGUACCAUCACCUUCACCUGUCCAGCCAACAUGUCCACCUCUAGUGGCGAGACCUCUAAGAAUGUCACCUGUAAAAAUAUGUACAACAACACCUACAGUUAUUUUCCAAAGGUUGUCGCUGCUUGUGAUGUGUGCCUUGGACAACCUGAAACAGAAAAUGCCACAACAGCUUGGAGUAGUAGCACAACUAACUACUCCCUCAACGAUGCAGUCAAUGUUAUCUGUAACGAGAAUCACUUCGUCGACUUGUUGAGCAAGAGACAAUCACUCUCCUGUUCCUACACUGGCUGGACCAACACCACACCAUGUUAUGAAGGCUGUGGUAACCCACCACCUAACCCUGGAGCCAACAUGACGCGGGACAACUUCACCAACAAUGCCAUAGGUGCCGAGGUCUCUUACACCUGUGAUGAUGGACUUAGCAUCCAUGAGACAUACCCUGACCUGACUAACACCAUUACGUUGACAUGUAAGGACCAUGUGUGGCUACCCAAUGACACCAAGCUUGAGUGUGCCAAAGUAUGUGCGGAUGACCCUCCAUCUCCGAUAUCUGUUGAUCCAUACCCCAAUGCCACAUCCACCUGGGACAACUACACUCGUGUUUCCGGCACUCAGGUCCAGUUGACGUGCCCUAGUGGAUACUUAUUUGCUAAUCAAAAUUCUACCAUUACUGUGACUUGUGAAGAGGAUGGAAACUGGACCUUGGUCAACACCAGCCUCAUCUGCAGGAUAUUGGCUACAGACCCACCACAACCCCCCGGCAGUGAGUACAGUGGCCCAGUACGGCCCUACUGGCAGUGGGACAUCCUCAACUACACGUGUCCUGGGGACAUGAUGUCUCCCACAGGAACCAACGCCACCUCUCUCACUUUUAAUGGCACCGAGUGGGUCCUGGAGGAACCUGACUUUCAAUGCCUUAAUGUGUGCCUGAGUGAUCCCCUGACCCCAGACCCUCCAAUCAAGACAACUUGGAAUGGUCGGUCCCGGACUGUCAACACAAUGGUUGAACUCUCAUGUCCUGACGGGUAUGUUUUCACCAACUUGAACUCCUCGGUUAACCUGACGUGUGACAACAACUCCCGCAAUUGGACUGACAUCGACACCUCCAUCCUCAUCUGCAGGAUAGUGGCUACAGACCCACCACAACCCCCUGGCAGUGAGUACAGUGGCCCAGCACGGCCCUACUGGCAGUGGGACAUCCUCAACUACACGUGUCCUGGGGACAUGAUGUCUCCCACAGGAACCAACGCCACCUCUCUCACUUUUAAUGGCACCGAGUGGGUCCUGGAGGAACCUGACUUUCAAUGCCUUAAUGUGUGCCUGAGUGAUCCCCUGACCCCAGACCCUCCAAUCAAGACAACUUGGAAUGGUCGGUCCCGGACUGUCAACACAAUGGUUGAACUCUCAUGUCCUGACGGGUAUGUUUUCACCAACUUGAACUCCUCGGUUAACCUGACGUGUGACAACAACUCCCGCAACUGGACUGAUAUCGACACCUCCAUCCUCAUCUGCAGGAUAGUGGCUAUUGAAGGUCCACCUCAGAUUCCUGAUAGUGAAUACUCGGGCCCAAAGCCACCCCACUGGCAAUGGGAUGUCCUCAACUAUACGUGUUAUGAGGACUUGAUGUCCCCUGCAGAAACCAACACCACCUCUGUUACUUUUAAUGGCACUGAAUGGGUCCUGGAGGAUCCUGACUUCAAGUGUCUUAAUGUGUGUGGGUCACCACCCCCAGCCUCCAACAGGACUACCUACAGUCUCACUGCAGCUCCAGUGACGGGAACUAUGGCUUCCUACAUCUGUCUUGGAGGUUUCCUGGUUUAUGACCCCUCCACCCUGGGUAACGACAACACCACAACCAGCCUCUCUAAUGACACCACAACCCUCAACAUCACCUGCCUGGACAGUGGCUGGAGCCUUAGUGACAUACCAGUCUGUAAAAUGUGUACCACUCCUCCUCCGGCUUCUGAUGUCGGGGUGACAAUUUCAUACAAGGGGGUGGACGAGUGGGGCGCUGUAGCCACCUACACCUGUGAGACCAAGUUUGUUGAUGACAACAAAACCAUAAGUGUUACUUGUCUGGAGGGAACCAGCAACUGGACAGUGACCAACCUGCCCCACUGUAUAGGUAAGGUGCUGGCAUGUUAGCACACACACACACACACUAAAUACAGUAAACAUAUAUUGUACUGUACAUACACAUGCGCACACACACACAUACACACACAUACACAUACAUGUAGUGCACUCAAAGAUACACAAUACAAACAAGCACACACUUUUACCGUUGACCCCUUAACUCAGGUAAUCAUAUCAACAAACGUUCACAGACUUUGAUAAUUAACAGUGGAAGAAAUUGUUGGUAUAUAAGUCAGAGGGACAUGGGAGUGGAGGAGACAGAGAGGGGGGGGGGGGUGUUUACUUCCUGAUGAAGGUUUAUCUUAUUAUUGACAAUAAUUUGGAGACUAAUGUACAAGUCAUUAUAAAUUUAAGUAACAUUAAACAUAAUGUGUACCUGUGUUUACCUCCAUUACCAUCCCUAGUUACCAUAAGUAUUACCAUCAGUUACCAUAAGUAUUACCAUCAGUUACCAUAAGUAUUACCAUCAGUUACCAUAAGUAUUACCAUCAGUUACCAUAACACUUUCUGAGUUUGUUUAUAACUGUUAGAUCACCUGAAGAUUACCCCCCCCUAUCCAGUUUAUUUCUCCUGAUGAUUGGGAGGUUAGGUUAGGUUAGGUUAGGUUAAGGUGGUUAAUCUUAAGGUAGAAUAAACUGGUGGGGUUAAUCUACAGUUGACCCUUAUUGUUAACUAAUACAGUUUCUUAUCUUAACCAUAACUUCAAUAUCCUCUACGAGUAUUCAUGGAACCAACACACUGGUGGGAUAAAGAAUAAUGUCAACUCUCAAUUGUUUUUUCCGGUGUGACUUGAUUGGCCACAAUUCGUGAGGCGCCUGCUCGUGAUUUUGUAGCGGCGCUUUCAGUCUGCUCACGCAUGCAUCUCCAGGACUCGCCCUCCUUCAGGACCCUCCCUCCCCUUCAGCCAGCCCUACAACACCUAACAGUUCUGCCAUAUGCCACAGGUCUCUAUUUCUCCAGGGACUCGACUCUUACUCCUUCAUCCACCCCAGCUCCGCUCCUCCUACCUUCAGAUCUAUG